GAUGAACGCUAGCUACAGGCUUAACACAUGCAAGUCGAGGGGCAGCAUGAGAGUAGCUUGCUACUUUUGAUGGCGACCGGCGCACGGGUGCGUAACACGUAUCCAAUCUACCCACGGCUCAGGGAUAGCCUUUCGAAAGAAAGAUUAAUACCUGAUGGUCUCCUUUAGGGACAUCCCUUUGGGAGUAAAGAUUCAUCGGCCAUGGAUGAGGAUGCGUCCGAUUAGCUUGACGGCGGGGUAACGGCCCACCGUGGCGACGAUCGGUAGGGGUUCUGAGAGGAAGGUCCCCCACACUGGAACUGAGACACGGUCCAGACUCC
RNAcentral lists this ribosomal RNA (320 nucleotides) under uncultured Bacteroidales bacterium. Its description in RNAcentral is "bacterial SSU rRNA". It matches the Rfam family "Bacterial small subunit ribosomal RNA", at positions 28 to 339 of the family's 1533-position model. Lineage: Bacteria; Pseudomonadati; Bacteroidota; Bacteroidia; Bacteroidales. The record is from RNAcentral.